RNAcentral lists this ribosomal RNA (327 nucleotides) under uncultured eukaryote. RNAcentral describes it as "partial 18S ribosomal RNA". It matches the Rfam family "Eukaryotic small subunit ribosomal RNA", at positions 1470 to 1796 of the family's 1831-position model. The record is from RNAcentral.
CCCUUAGAUGUUCUGGGCCGCACGCGCGCUACACUGAUUCAUGCAACAAGUUUUGUCCUUGGCUGAUAGGCCUGGGUAAUCUUUGAACGUGAAUCGUGAUGGGGAUAGAUGAUUGCAAUUAUUCAUCUUCAACGAGGAAUUCCUAGUAAACGCAAGUCAUCAGCUUGCAUUGAUUACGUCCCUGCCCUUUGUACACACCGCCCGUCGCACCUACCGAUUGAAUGGUCCGGCGAAAUCUUCGGAUCUGAGAGAUGUCUGAUUAAUUUCGGACGCCUUUUGGAAAAGUUGCUUAAACCUUACCAUUUAGAGGAAGGUGAAGUCGUAACA